This 433-nucleotide long non-coding RNA is filed under the name Rosa chinensis. RNAcentral's name for it is "sRNA RchiOBHm_Chr5g0054591". Lineage: Eukaryota; Viridiplantae; Streptophyta; Magnoliopsida; Rosales; Rosaceae. The record is from RNAcentral.
CCGAAGGUCGAUAAAUAAAUAUGAAAACUAACUCCAUCGAAAUCUCAUUUCAAAAAUCUCUUAUAAAAUCUCAAAUCGACGAAUAGCAAUAUAAUAUAAGUAGUAUAAUUCCGGAAAUCACGUCGGAAAAAUAAUUCGUCGAAAUUCAACAUAAAUUAUAAACUCGAAUCCGAGCAUAACAAAUUAAUAUCUGAAAUUCACAACCGGUAUAAAUCAUAAUUACUUCAUGAAAAUCAUUAUUGAAAGCAAAUCCACGAGAUAAAUCGAAAUCAAAUUCCGAAAUCAAUUCAUAUGCUCGGAAAAUAAUAUGUUAAUUAAAUAAAGCAUUAAUUCAAGAAAAUAAACGCAUGCAUCAUUAUUUAAAACAAGAGUCCACUCACAGUACUAUUGGGCGACCACGCAAAUGAGUUCCUUCAUUUAACCGUAGCUCGCG